GUAUAUAUAGCUCAGUGGUAGAGCACUUGCCUAGCAUGCAUGAGGUCCUGGGUUCAAUCCCCAGUACCUCCA
RNAcentral lists this transfer RNA (72 nucleotides) under Camelus bactrianus (Bactrian camel). It matches the Rfam family "tRNA". Rfam says of the family: Transfer RNA (tRNA) molecules are approximately 80 nucleotides in length. Their secondary structure includes four short double-helical elements and three loops (D, anti-codon, and T loops). RNAcentral also lists the same sequence under 2 other names. Lineage: Eukaryota; Metazoa; Chordata; Mammalia; Artiodactyla; Camelidae. The record is from Rfam by way of RNAcentral.